Molecule: non-coding RNA, 30 nt
Filed under: Cricetulus griseus (Chinese hamster)
Lineage: Eukaryota; Metazoa; Chordata; Mammalia; Rodentia; Cricetidae
Source: RNAcentral
AUCCCAGAAUUUGGGAGGUAAAGGCAGGUG